RNAcentral lists this ribosomal RNA (923 nucleotides) under uncultured Ascomycota. Its description in RNAcentral is "eukaryotic LSU rRNA". The stretch from base 275 to 923 matches the Rfam family "Eukaryotic large subunit ribosomal RNA", at positions 1 to 664 of the family's 3401-position model. Lineage: Eukaryota; Fungi; Ascomycota. The record is from RNAcentral.
AUCGAUGAAGAACGCAGCGAAAUGCGAUAAGUAAUGUGAAUUGCAGAAUUCAGUGAAUCAUCGAAUCUUUGAACGCACAUUGCGCCCCCUGGUAUUCCGGGGGGCAUGCCUGUUCGAGCGUCAUUAUAACCCUCAAGCCCAGCUUGGUGUUGGGGCUCACCGGUCACGGUGGCCCCUAAAAUCAGUGGCGGCGCCUCUAGGCCCUCAGCGUAGUAAUACCUCUCGCUACAGGACCCUAGAGGAUGCUGGCCAGCAACCCCUAAUUUUCUAUGGUUGACCUCGGAUCAGGUAGGGAUACCCGCUGAACUUAAGCAUAUCAAUAAGCGGAGGAAAAGAAACCAACAGGGAUUACCUCAGUAACGGCGAGUGAAGCGGUAAAAGCUCAAAUUUGAAAUCUGGCUCUUUCAGGGUCCGAGUUGUAAUUUGUAGAAGAUGCUUCGGGUGAGGCUCCGGUCUAAGUUCCUUGGAACAGGACGUCAUAGAGGGUGAGAAUCCCGUAUGUGACUGGGUGCCCUCGCCCGUGUGAAGCUCUUUCGACGAGUCGAGUUGUUUGGGAAUGCAGCUCAAAAUGGGUGGUAAAUUUCAUCUAAAGCUAAAUAUUGGCCAGAGACCGAUAGCGCACAAGUAGAGUGAUCGAAAGAUGAAAAGCACUUUGGAAAGAGAGUUAAACAGUACGUGAAAUUGUUGAAAGGGAAGCGCUUGCAACCAGACUUGCGCGCAGUUGAUCAUCUGGGGUUCUCCCCAGUGCACUCGGCUGUGCUCAGGCCAGCAUCGGUUUUGGUGGUUGGAUAAAGGCCCUGGGAAUGUGGCUCCUCUCGGGGAGUGUUAUAGCCCAGGGUGCAAUGCAGCCUACCGGGACCGAGGACCGCGCUUCGGCUAGGAUGCUGGCGUAAUGGUUGUAAGCGACCCGUCUUGAAACACGG